GCUGGGAUAGCUCAGUCAGUAGAGCAUGAGACUCUUAAUUUCAGGGUUGUGGUCUGGAGCCCCACAUUGGGCA
Non-coding RNA from Podarcis lilfordi (Lilford's wall lizard), 73 nucleotides. Lineage: Eukaryota; Metazoa; Chordata; Lepidosauria; Squamata; Lacertidae. The record is from the annotation of a GenBank genome assembly.